This 427-nucleotide ribosomal RNA is filed under the name uncultured Conexibacter sp. RNAcentral describes it as "bacterial SSU rRNA". It matches the Rfam family "Bacterial small subunit ribosomal RNA", at positions 355 to 774 of the family's 1533-position model. Lineage: Bacteria; Bacillati; Actinomycetota; Thermoleophilia; Solirubrobacterales; Conexibacteraceae. The record is from RNAcentral.
UGGGGAAUCUUGCGCAAUGCGCGAAAGCGUGACGCAGCAACGCCGCGUGCGGGAAGACGGCCUUCGGGUUGUAAACCGCUUUCAGUUGGGACGAAGCCAGUACGGUGAAUAGCCGGCGCUGGUGACGGUACCUUCAGAAGAAGCCCCGGCUAACUACGUGCCAGCAGCCGCGGUAAUACGUAGGGGGCAAGCGUUGUCCGGAAUCAUUGGGCGUAAAGCGCGUGUAGGCGGCUGGGUAAGUCCGCUCUGAAAGCCCGGGGCUCAACCCCGGGAGGCGGGUGGAUACUGUCAAGCUCGAGUCCGGAAGAGGCGAGUGGAAUUCCUGGUGUAGCGGUGAAAUGCGCAGAUAUCAGGAGGAACACCAAUGGCGAAGGCAGCUCGCUGGGACGUGACUGACGCUGAGACGCGAAAGCGUGGGGAGCAAACA